Molecule: ribosomal RNA, 433 nt
Filed under: uncultured bacterium
Lineage: Bacteria
Description: partial 16S ribosomal RNA
Rfam family: Bacterial small subunit ribosomal RNA
Source: RNAcentral
AACGAACGCUGGCGGCAUGCCUAACACAUGCAAGUCGAACGAGACCUUCGGGUCUAGUGGCGCACGGGUGCGUAACGCGUGGGAACCUGCCCUUAGGUUCGGAAUAACUCCCCGAAAGGGGUGCUAAUACCGGAUAAUGUCUUCGGACCAAAGAUUUAUCGCCUUUGGAUGGGCCCGCGUUGGAUUAGCUAGUUGGUAGGGUAAAAGCCUACCAAGGCGACGAUCCAUAGCUGGUCUGAGAGGAUAAUCAGCCACACUGGGACUGAGACACGGCCCAGACUCCUACGGGAGGCAGCAGUGGGGAAUAUUGGACAAUGGGCGAAAGCCUGAUCCAGCAAUGCCGCGUGAGUGAUGAAGGCCUUAGGGUUGUAAAACUCUUUUACCCGGGAUGAUAAUGACAGUACCGGGAGAAUAAGCGCCGGCUAACUCCGUG